CUUAUAUUCACAACUAAUUUCUAUUAAACACGUCAAUUUUUCUAUUUUUCCUAAUAUAAUUGACUCAAGAUUGUUGAAAUUUUCUCUUUAUUGGAGAUGACUUUGAGUGUUAGUAAUAUUUAUAUUUCACAUAUGUGAAAUAAGUUCAUUUCAUAUACAAAUUCUAGGGCUUGUAUAAAGGAUCAAAUUUGAUACAACUCUAAUAUAUGUUCAAUUUUUUUUUAUCACUAUUGUUACACCAGCCAAAUUCCGAAGAUAAAUCAAGUCUCUCCACCGGAGAUGAGAACGAUAGACGGCGGUAUUAUUCCUAUUUCCCGCAGCUUUAAAGGUGAGAUUUUGAAUUGAUCAGAUAUGAAGGAUUCUAUCAACAACCCUAAAAGGGUAAGCUUUUGGAUUUGAACCUUAAAAGGUAAUUCAAAUUCAUUGAAAUUGCUAGAUAUGAAGGGUUCUGUCAACAACCCUAAAAGGGUAAGCUUUUUGGAUUUGAACCUUAAAAGGUAAUUCUAAGUAGCCCAUGCUAUUUACAUAUUACUAUUAUUGUUAUGUAAAAUGUAUUAAGAGCCUUGAUUGUAUUUUAUUAGUUGUUAUUGAAGAAUUGGGGGAAUUGGGGCUUUUACUAAUACCACCUUUACGACAUUUUCUCUCUAUCAGUGACCAGUUAUAUAGCCUCCCGGAAAGUGGUGAAUUGUUUUUUUAUCAGGGGUUUGAAACCAUCGGCAACAGCAUUCAAAAUACUGUUGUUCAAACCUUAUGCCUUGAGGAUCCAUUACUUUGAUUUGGGUAAUGGGAUAAUGAAAUUGAUCUCAAUUAGCAAGGGAGCAUAAGAAAUCCUUUUAAGCUUAGUUGUACAAUCAGCAACACAUAUAGGUGUUCGUAGCACACUAGCAAUCCUGCUUAGGGACUUAGGACCCCAACAACUAAAUAGAAGAUUGAGGAACGUCACUAUAGACGGAUAACUUUCAAUACCUCAUCCUUAGAAUUGAAACUGGCUACCCAAGGUUUAACAGCAGACUUAGACUUAGUAUUGAUCAUGUGAGGGCCAAAACUAAGUAUCUCUAUCUUUUAUUGAUUGGAAUUCACAAUAUAAUAACCCUCAUUGUGAUAAUAGACUCUAGCUUUUUGAGUGAAUUUACCGUUGCUUUCAAGGAAUCUAGCUACAAUUGUUAUAGUUGGGGAAUCCCAAAUAAUAUAUAGGUACAAUGGCAAAGGGUUCAUGUCAGCCGAAAUAUUAAUUCCCUUCAACACUUGAUACAUCUUAUUUGUACAUUCAUUGACCCAAUUCUUUUUCUUUACCUUAUGUAAUUGUUUCUCCAAUUUCUCAGUCCUUAGCUUCGUCAACUCUUCUCCCGUCAUCAUGUGUUUUGAUUGAUCUAACACCGAAAGUUACUAAACCUUUUACAGGUAUUGAAUGCAUUAGCAUAAUUUAAAAACAAAUCAGGUUGGUUUUGCUAAGGACUAUAGACAAUUAUAGUCAUUUUAACACCACAAAGCGUAGUGAGUUCAUAAGCCUUUUUAAAUAACCCUUUCAAUCUUAACUUGCAAGAGACUUUCCUCUUGGCCUUAUUUUCAAUCAAAGCAAAGUUCACUUUGGUUCUGGGCAUGGCUAAAGAUGAGGAAUAGUAGAAGAUAUGUGUUUGUUUGGAUAUUCAAGAUCAAAUAACUUUGUUGUGGUGAGUUUCUUUGUCUUGGAUUGAUUUUUAUUGAUAGACGGAAUUUAGAUUGUGUAAAUCUCUGAAUAGUUUGAAUUAAAAGAUAUUUAGGUGCCACCCAUAACUAUUAUGACAUAAAACUAAUUAAUGGUGCAUCAUAUACCAAAUUAGAUGAUAUGUUUUUGAUAAAUAUGCAGUCUAUGGCUUCGGUCUUAUCCAGACCAAUUUCUUAGUCAGACUUUUCUUAUUAAGAAAAUAAUUUAAUAAUUUAAGAAAACUUUUCUUAUCCUGAACAAAUAUUGAAUAUUUUCUUAAUAAGAAAAGUUUGACUAAAAAAUUGGUCAGGAGAAGACGAAGCCAUAAACUGCAUAUUUUUCAAAAUGAUAUAUCUAAUUUGGUAUAUGAUGCCCCAUUAAUUAGUUUUAUGCCAUAAUAGGUAUGGACGACACCUAAAUAUCUUCUAAUUCAAACUAUUCAAAAAUUUACACAAUCUAAAUUCCGUCUAUAAAUAGAAGUCAAUCCUAGACAAAGAAACUCACUAAAUAAAGCCAUUCAAUCUCGAAUAUCCAAACAAACACAUAUCUCCUACUAUUCCUCAUCUUUAGCCAUGCCUAGAACAAAAGUGAAGUUUGCUUUGAUUGAAAAUGAGGCUAAGAGGAAAGCCUCUUACAAGCAAAGAUUGAAAGGGUUAUUUAAAAUGGCUUAUGAACUCACUACACUUUGUGGUGUUGAAAUGGCUAUAACCGUCUAUAGUCCUUACCAGAUUCAACCUAUUUUGUUUCCAAAUAAUGCUAACGCAUUCAAUACCUUUAAAAGGUUUAGUGAGCUUUCGGUGUUAGAUCAAUCAAAACACAUGAUGACGGGAGAAGAGUUCACGAAGCAAAGGACUGAGAAGUUGGAGAAACAAUUACAUAAGGUAAGGAAAGAAAACAGGGUAAAUGAGUGCACAAAUAAGAUGUAUCGAGCGUUGAAGGAAAUUGAUAUUCCUGCUGACAUGAACCCUUACGAUCUGAACGAUUUGAGUUUCGUUAUAAAACAAAACCUCAAACAGGUAUGUGAAAUGAUGAAAGCGAAGAUUGACGGAGAGGGUUCCACAUUAAAUGCCCGUCAACCUAUGGUACCUCAUGGGACCAACUCUGAGGAGCCAAGGGCUCAUUUGCUAGAAAAAAUUAGGGCUCCAGUAUCAAUAGUUCCUUUGGUGGCUCCAUCAACUGCUAUUGGUGCAGCCAACUUCGAAGGGCUUAGUACUGAUAUGUUGGUCCCUGUUGUUGAUCCAAUAUCGAUGGUUCCUCCGGCGGAUCCAUCGAUGGUUCCUCCGGCGGAUCCAUCGAUGGUUCCUCCGGCGGAUCCAUCGAUGGUUCCUCAAGCGGAUCCAUUGAUGGUUCUUCAAGCGGAUCCAUUGAUGGUUCCUUCAUCCGCUCCUGCUCAAAUGCCCAAACCAUUGAGUAAUCUGAUGGAUCCUCUCGUAAAAUCUUCAAGGUCUUCUCCUCCUCCUUUUUCUCCAUUUUCUUUAGAAAAUUUCCCUGAAAUGUUUGUACAAUCGUAUCCUCCAUUACCUCAAGAAAUGGCUUUUAGAAGGGCUCCUAGAAUGGCUCCUCCAACAAAAAUGGCUUCUCCAAUACCUUCAACAAUAAUUACUCCUCCAAUGGCUUGCUCGGAGCCAUCGACGGCUUCUUCAUCCGCUCCCGUUCAGAUGCUCGAACCAAGGACUCCUCAACCGGUUCCUUUUGUAGACCCUUCGAGGUUUCCUCCGCUUCCUCUCUCUCCAUUUUCUUUAGACAUGUUUCCUCCAAUGUUUCCCCAAUUGUAUCCUCCAUAACCUCAAGAAAUGGUUUUUAGAAGGGCUCAUGAAAUGCCCCCUCCAAUGCAUCCAACAACAAUGGCUUUUCCAAUACUUUCACCAAUAAUGGCUUCGCUGGUUUUCGAGAGUCCAACAUUAUCUGAUGCUGGUCGGAAAUUAUGAUGAUGAUGUAAUGCUUUAAUUAAUGAUCCAAACCACCACAACAAUUUAUAAGGAUCUAGGACUAAUAUGUCUCUUUUAAUUAGCAUUGUUUUGUAGGUUCGUGUUGUCCUGUGGACUAUUUGUGUUAUUUGCUGUUUUCCAUGUUUAAGUUGUGUUAUAGGACUCUUCAUAUCUCUUUCCAUGUGUCCUCAUUUGAAGUGUCUAUUGUUGUUUUCUUUUUCUUGUUCAAAGUGUGGUAUCAUUCACUUAUUAAAUCUGUAUUCAGUUUUUUUUAAUGUUUACUAGAUACUCGUAUGUUUAUUUGUUCCUUUAUUACUAUUAUUGAAAAUGUUAUUGUUAGUAUGGUUUUCAAAAAUGACCUCUUCCACUUCAAAAAUCUAUCAUCAGUGUACAUAUCGGGUAAAUAUUCAUGCUCAAAAUUUCCUUUUUAAACCAAUACAGCAACAUAAACAUACCCAACAUAGUUCCACUAAGUGGGAAAGUGUAAAAUCAUAACACAUCUAAAGUUGAGAAUGAAUUAGAAAGUAAAGAAGAUUAUUGUAAAGACCUAUUAUACAUCCAUGUAAUGGAAAAAUAAAGUCUAAAAUAGUGUCUGUUUUAAAAAAUCAAGAUAUAAUUAAUUAUUUGUUUCUUCUUGUAAAGAAAUGGAUCUUGGGCCUAAUCCAAAAGCUAGCUCUUAAGGGAGGAUUAUUCAAGUCUAUAUAAGGAAACCGCCAUUUCUUUUUCAUCCGAUUUGGGACUUGAGCAAUUAAAUCUAGGGACCCAUCAUAGGUAAACAAUAAUAAGGAUGGUUCCUGCUCUAGUACCAUGUAAGAAAUGGAUCAUGGGUGUAACUCAACCUAAGAAAUGAGCUCUUGAGGGAAUAUUGCCCAAGUUUAUAUAAGGAAACCACCCAUCCGUUUUUCAUCCGAUUUGGGACUCUUUAAUACCCGGUUCACACCCAAGACUAGACAUCCGAUUAUCUGUAGUAUCUAUGAUUAGUUUCCUUCAAUAUAUAUAUUGGGUUGGUACUAAUAUUAGUUUUACAAAAACAAUAAUAAUUACUAUGUUCCAGUUUCGAAUUAGUGGGUAGUCAUCCAUAUGAGUCUUCACUUCUUCAUUCAAGCUCAUUUGUAUCCUCAUCAUAUAAAAUAAACUAAAAUAAAAUAGAAGUAAAAAAUAAGUUGGAUAGUUAUAGCAAUUCUCUAACAAGUUUUUUGUAGCCGACUUUUUGCCUGUAAGAACACCCUCUUCACUUCCUCAUCCUCUGGAAUUUCUUGUAUUAACAUUUCACAAUCUUGAAUAGCUGCUUUCCAUCUUCCCAACUGCAUAUAUCAACCAAAACUUUAUGAUAUAUACCUUGUGUGAUCACAUCAUCUAAAAUCUUAAGCGAUUAGUGAGGGUUGGCACACUUCUAUUUACCUAAUUAAUUAUGUCUUCAACAAAUUACCUUGAUGUUGCAGUCAGCUCUCCGCAAUCUAGCCUUUGUAUAGGAAGGACGCAGUACAAGAGCUGCAGUGCAAUCUUCCACAGCUUUUUCGAAUUGUCCUAGCUUGAAUCGACAUGCUGCUCUGUUAAACAGUAGAAUAGAAUUGUAUGGCUCUUGUUCUAGUCCUUCAGUGUACUCGAAAGAAGCCUCUGAGAAUUUAUUUUCUCUGAACAACUCGUUACCUUUUAACCGAAAUGAUGCCAACGCUUCAAUUCUCCUUAGAAUUGUGAUAAUUACUUCAUUGCUUUGAUCCAAUUUUGUUGCUUCUUGAGCUGCAGCUGUAGCCUCCUCAAACCAGCCAACUGUUGCAUAGGCCUCAGCUCGAGUGAUCAAUAAAUAAGCUGUUUUUACUGAACCAAAAAGGCAAGCACAUAGCUCUGUUUUGAUAUGAGCUACUUUCUGAAUUGUGGUGUAUGCUUCCUCGUGUCUAUGCAACUUUAUUAAUGCUUCAGCCCUCAUGGCAAAGAUCUUCAUUUGAAAUCAAGUCAAAGGAAUAAAAAAAUAAGAAUCUUUAAACAUCGAAUUUUCUUUAUAAUAAUUUGUACAUUAGGGAUGGACUAUAGGCCUCAUUUUCCCCCAUUAAGAUUACAACAUGUGAAUCUAUAUGCACAUCUAAAUGAUUAGGAUGUUGUCUUUAGAUUUGAAUACGGAAGGAUUAAUAUCGUGUUUUUCGACAUGUGAAUGAACAUAUUAUAUUUAUUUGUAAACAUAAUAAAUAGACAAUAAAUCAAUUAGUAUAUUUUUAAAAAAUUAAUUUAAUUAUUUUUUUUUAUCUGAUUAAAAAAUGAAAUAUUUAUGUUAGCUAAUGAUGAUGGUAACGGUCUGUGGUGGUUGUGAUAGUGGCAAUAAUAUCUUCACUAAAUAUUUAUGUACGCUCUUGUUCUAGUCCUUUAGUGACUAUGAAUGGUGGUGGUGAUAGUUAUUAUGGUGGUCAUUGGUAGUGGUGGUUGUGAUGGUGAAGAUGGUUGAUGGUGCCAAUGAUGGCGGCUAAAGAAUGUAUUGGUGGUAGUUAACGGCGGUGCUAGUUGUUAUGCUUGGUUAUAAGAAUUGACCGUCAUGGUGGUAGUGGCUGUUAGUUGUGGUGGAGUUAGCGGCAACAAUGGCACUAAUGGUUGUGGUUGUGGUAGGUGGUAGGUGUGCUAGUUGUGAUGGUGGAGUUGGUUGGUAGUAGGAGUUAGUCGCAGUGGUGGUGGGAUAGAUAUAAUUGUAGUAAUGGAGGUGACAGGUGUGGUAUUGGCUGACAAUAGUGGUGAUGGUGAUGACAGAGGUGGUUGGUAGUUGAUGACGAUAAUGGUAGUUUACAAUGGUGGUGGUGGUUGUGAUGGCAAAGGCGGUUAGUGAUAGUGAAGACUUUGUUCAAGAUCUUAAUGAUUAAGACCUAUACAAACCAAUUAGGUGCUUAAAUCUUAAUGAAAACAAAUACGCUUAAUGGCCUAAUAUCUGAACCAUAUACAUUAAGACCUCCACCAAGUACUAAAGAAUGAGGCUUAGUUGUAGUGAAACCUGUGGAGCUGAAUCUACUCCUAAGGUGAUAGAAUUUUGUGUUUCCUUUAUCAAUGUAUUGUAAUCUCUCAGCUUCUGUGCUUCUGUGCAUUUUAAGAGCUGUCUCUUAAUAUCAUGAGCCUCUGCAAUGUCCUUCUUGUCAACUUUUCGCCCUGAUUGUUUGUAAUGAUCUAUCGCUUUCUCUGCAUCUCCCAGCCUGUCGAAAUGAAAAAAGAAAUUGACUACAUCAACCAAAUUCAGACAAAAUCAUCUAAAGAAAAAUAAUUGACGAUUCAAAAAGACUAACCUAACGUAUAGUCUUGCAAGACGAUAAUGUGCAUUGUGAUAAGAAGGGUCUAGCUGGAUAGCCUCUAUACAUGCAACAACUGCCUCAAUCACGCGGCCUAAACUCAUCAAAGCUGCAGCCUUGUUGCUAUAGUAACUAGCAUUUCCUGGAUCAAUUGCAAUUGCUUGAUUGUACAGAUCCAAUGCCUUCUCAAUUUUCCCCUGUCUAUACUGCUCAUUGCCUAUGGACUUGAGCACAUCAGGGUCCCGUUUUUUUGCAGAACCGCGAAACGAACUACCUGGUUGAUGGCUUUUUACAGAACUAGUUUGCCUUACUAUGUUAUCCUUCAAGAUUUUGCCUUUCUUCUGGAUAGCCUUUUUGUCACUUGAGGAAUUUUGGUUCUUCAAGUUUCCCAAGUGGCUUAGUAGUGUAACAUUGCUUGUUGAACUGCGAUUCAAUGUUCCAUUCACCUUGGAUUUUCGAUGACUAAAGAUUGUCAUGCUCAAUUCACUUGAGGUGAAUGUUGGUUCUCUUCUAAGCUUUUGUGUGUAUGCCAAGUUCACAACUUGUGACACUCUGUUCUUACUAGAAGUCGAAUUUUUCGGACAAGAGCUGGUGUGACAUCUUCUUGAAUUCUUGACAAAAUUGGUGUCACUGGACUUAGUUGUAAUGUUGAUUUUUGUGUUAGUAUUUCUUCUAGGAAAAAAAGCACCUAUUAAACAACCACCUAAUCCAUUUAGUAAUGAAUUAUCUGCAAUUUUUGACAUAGUUGAUUGAGAUUGACCAUUUUUUCUAGUUUUUUCCAUCUCAGUAGUUUCUUAACAGGUCUCUCAACUAAUCACUAAAAAGAAAUAAAAUAGGACACUUUAUAUAUGAUAAAAAAGAAGGGUCAACUGAAAAAAAAAUUCAAAUAUAUAAAAACAAAGAAAUCAAAGAUAUUUUCUUAAUGAUAAGCCUGUUUUAUUUAUUUAUUAUUAUUUUUCAUAUAAGAUGAGUGAAUAUAUUCUAGAGUGGAUGUAUUUUCUUUAAUAUUUUACGCGCAUGGAUUUUACAGAUAUCUAUUUUUAGCAUGAUGUGAUAUUAUUUGCUAAGAGCUAUACAUUUGGUUUUUCAAAAGCAACACUAUUGAGAGUAUUGAUAGUAUUCAUGAGUAUACGCGUACUGCAGGGCCCCAUUCAGGGGUAACACUCUUAACAGAUUUUCUCCAUAUUCAAAGUCGGAUUCGAGACCUUUAAGGGUGGAGUAGUCUCACAACCGCACCACAACCAAUGUCGGUUCGACAUGUAUUACUCUCUUUUGUUGUACUUGUUUUGUAUUUUACUGAUUUAUUUUUAUUACAUUGGGUAUAAACAUAAUUUUACAACA
Solanum lycopersicum (tomato) is the source of this 8213-nucleotide non-coding RNA. Lineage: Eukaryota; Viridiplantae; Streptophyta; Magnoliopsida; Solanales; Solanaceae. The record is from RefSeq and is a predicted model, not a curated record.